GUGCCAGCAGCCGCGGUAAUACGGAGGGUACAAGCGUUAUUCGAAAUCAUUGGGUGCAAAGCGCGUGUAGGCGGUUUGGUUAGUCAGAUGUGAAAGCUCCGGGCUUAACCCGGAAAGUGCGUCUGAAACUGCCAGACUUGAGUGCGGGAGAGGAAGGUGGAAUUCCCAGUGUAGAGGUGAAAUUCGUAGAUAUUGGGAGGAACACCGGUGGCGAAGGCGACCUUCUGGACCGCCACUGACGCUGAGACGCGAAAGCGUGGGGAGCGAACAGGAUUAGAUACCCCGGUAGUCCACGCCGUAAACGAUGGGCACUAGGUGUAGGGGGUAUUGACCCCCCCUGUGCCGUAGCUAACGCAUUAAGUGCCCCACCUGGGUAGUACGGCCGCAAGGCUAAAACCUAAAGGAAUUGACGGGGCCCCGCACAAGCGGUGGAGCAUGUGGUUUAAUUCGAAGCAACGCGAAGAACCUUACCUGGGCUUGACAUCCCCUGACCGCCAUGGAAACAUGGUUUUCC
RNAcentral lists this ribosomal RNA (514 nucleotides) under uncultured delta proteobacterium. RNAcentral describes it as "bacterial SSU rRNA". It matches the Rfam family "Bacterial small subunit ribosomal RNA", at positions 505 to 1017 of the family's 1533-position model. The record is from RNAcentral. Lineage: Bacteria; Deltaproteobacteria.